GGAGUGCUAAUACCGCAUAAGACCACGAGCUCGAAAGAGCAUGCGGUCAAAGCUUGCCUCUAUUCAUAAGCUAGCACUUGAGGAUGAGCCCGCGGCGCAUCAGCUAGUUGGUGAGGUAAUGGCUCACCAAGGCGAAGACGCGUAGCUGGUCUGAGAGGAUGAUCAGCCACACUGGAACUGAGACACGGUCCAGACUCCUACGGGAGGCAGCAGUGGGGAAUCUUGCGCAAUGGGCGAAAGCCUGACGCAGCGACGCCGCGUGAGUGAUGAAGGCCUUCGGGUUGUAAAGCUCUGUGGGGAGAGACGAAUAGGUGCAGCCUAAUACGUUGCAUGAUGACGGUAUCUCCUUAGCAAGCACCGGCUAACUCUGUGCCAGCAGCCGCGGUAA
This 388-nucleotide ribosomal RNA is filed under the name uncultured delta proteobacterium. Its description in RNAcentral is "bacterial SSU rRNA". It matches the Rfam family "Bacterial small subunit ribosomal RNA", at positions 157 to 523 of the family's 1533-position model. Lineage: Bacteria; Deltaproteobacteria. The record is from RNAcentral.